This 584-nucleotide long non-coding RNA is filed under the name Homo sapiens (human). RNAcentral describes it as "HSALNT0119205". The record is from RNAcentral. Lineage: Eukaryota; Metazoa; Chordata; Mammalia; Primates; Hominidae.
AACUUGAAAGGGCUGCACCACUGCCGAGCUAUGGGACAGAUGGAUUUCAACAGAGUGAUGACAUUAUGGGAAGCACAUUAACCUUCUCCAAAGCAGCAACAAAAGAAAAGCAAGAUUCAAUCACUGGAAUGAAAAACUAUUUCACAAAUUCAGUGAAUGUUUUAAGUCCUCUAAAAUUUGGCAUUUUGACUUUUGGAAUUAAUGAGUAGGAAAAUUUAUUUAAAAUGAAUAUUCCCCCAAAAAGAGAAGCCAUUUGAACCCUAAACUCUCUCAUCCAACAGAGCUAGCAAAUUAGAUUUAAGAAGAAAGAUAAUUUGAUUCCUCUGAGUUUCUCUACAAGGAAACAUCAAUCAGAGUGAAAGAAGAAUACACACUUUCCAAGGAACUUCUUGCAUUUCCCUCCAGGAGGAAAGUCCAGAGAAAUAAUUGGGUCUUUUAAUCCUCCGAGAAUGGUCUCCAAUGGCUGGCACUAGGACCAAAAAUCUCAGCAACCACGGGGAGAUGGCAGUGUGGACCUUGAACUGGCCCGAUCCAGCACAUGAAAAUCACUAAACACAUGAAAAUCACUAAGUUAAACCUGUAGG